RNAcentral lists this ribosomal RNA (302 nucleotides) under uncultured eukaryote. RNAcentral describes it as "partial large subunit ribosomal RNA". It matches the Rfam family "Eukaryotic large subunit ribosomal RNA", at positions 40 to 350 of the family's 3401-position model. The record is from RNAcentral.
AUAUUAAUAAGCGGAGGAAAAGAAACUAACUAGGAUUCCCAUAGUAAUGGCGAACGAAGUGGGAAAAGCUCAAUGUUGGAAUCCUUCGGGAAUUGUAGUUUAUCGAGGUGUUUUUAAAGUUUGUAAUGCGUGACAAGUUCCUUGGAAAAGGACAUGAUACAGGGUGACAAUCCCGUAGUCGCGCAUUUACUUUCCUUACAAGGCACUUUCGGAGAGUCGAGUUGUUUGGGAAUGCAGCUCAAAGUGGGUGGUAGGCAUCAUCUAAAGCUAAAUAUUGACACGAGACCGAUAGCGCACAAGUA